UACGUAGGGUGCAAGCGUUAAUCGGAAUUACUGGGCGUAAAGCGUGCGCAGGCGGUUGUGCAAGACAGAUGUGAAAUCCCCGGGCUCAACCUGGGAACUGCAUUUGUGACUGCACAGCUUGAGUGCGGCAGAGGGGGAUGGAAUUCCGCGUGUAGCAGUGAAAUGCGUAGAUAUGCGGAGGAACACCGAUGGCGAAGGCAACCCCCUGGGCCAGCACUGACGCUCAGGCACGAAAGCGUGGGGAGCAAACAGG
This 253-nucleotide ribosomal RNA is filed under the name uncultured bacterium. RNAcentral's name for it is "partial 16S ribosomal RNA". It matches the Rfam family "Bacterial small subunit ribosomal RNA", at positions 524 to 776 of the family's 1533-position model. The record is from RNAcentral.